RNA transcript from Cinclus cinclus, 3533 nucleotides. It is a transcript of the gene named acyl-CoA oxidase 1, with no coding region annotated. The transcript is spliced from 12 exons. Lineage: Eukaryota; Metazoa; Chordata; Aves; Passeriformes; Cinclidae. The record is from RefSeq and is a predicted model, not a curated record.
AUCUGUAGUCAAUCAUAGUGCAUCAAAAAUAGGGGAAUGUCAGAGAUGCACUUUCUGCAUAAUUACAAAGAAAUGCGUUGCAGCAUGUUUAUUUCAAAGUGAGUGCAAUUUGUUACUCGGGCCUGAGAAAAGGACAGUGCUCUGGCUUUCUAAAAUACACACUGAAUUCUGAUUGACACAUGAAUCACUUUUUUUUUUCUUUUUGUCUCUUCCUGAAUCUCCACCAUGAAUCCUCAUGCUUGCUUCCCUCCCGUAACAUUCCCUUCACGCUCCCAUCCCAUGACAAUUCUUCACAGCUUUGUUCACCGUGGACGGCCUGAACCUCUGGACCUUCACCUGGGCAUGUUCCUCCCCACUCUUCUCACCCAGGCCACCCCAGAGCAGCAGGAUCGCUUCUUCAUGCCUGCCUGGAACCUGGAGAUCAUUGGCACUUAUGCCCAGACUGAAAUGGGCCAUGGGACUCAUCUUCGGGGCCUGGAAACUACAGCCACUUAUGACCCCUCUACACAGGAGUUCAUCCUCAACAGCCCCACUGUUACCUCCAUUAAGUGGUGGCCAGGUGGACUUGGGAAGACGUCGAACCACGCCAUUGUUCUGGCUCAGCUCUACACCCAGGGCCAGUGCAAAGGCCUGCACGCCUUCAUUGUCCCCAUCCGGCAGCUGGGCACACAUGAACCUCUGCCAGGUAUUACAGUGGGUGACAUUGGCCCCAAAUUUGGCUAUGAUGAAAUGGAUAAUGGCUACCUGAAAAUGGACAACUUCCGAAUUCCUCGGGAAAACAUGCUGAUGAAAUAUGCCCAGGUUGAACCAGAUGGCACCUAUGUGAAACCAGUCAGUGACAAGCUGACCUAUGGGACCAUGGUGUUCAUCCGUUCCCUCAUCGUGGGUGACUCUGCUCGCUCGCUGUCCCGGGCCUGCACCAUCGCCAUUCGCUACAGCGCCGUCAGACACCAGUCUGAGCUGAAGCCAGGGGAACCAGAACCCCAGAUCCUGGAUUAUCAAACCCAGCAAUACAAACUCUUUCCUCUCCUGGCAACAGCAUAUGCCUUCCAUUUUGUGGGAGCCUACAUAAAGCACACCUACCAUCGUAUCAAUGAGGACAUCAGCAAGGGGGACCUCAGUGAGCUGCCAGAGCUGCACGCCCUGACAGCGGGGCUGAAGGCGUUCACCUCAUGGACUGCCAAUUCUGGCAUUGAGGAAUGUCGGAUGGCCUGUGGUGGGCAUGGCUACUCCCGCUGCAGUGGCAUUCCUGACAUCUAUGUCACCUUCACCCCAUCUUGCACCUAUGAGGGAGAGAACACUGUCAUGAUGCUGCAGACAGCCAGGUUCCUUAUGAAAAGCUACACCCAGGUGACUUCUGGACAGCAGGUCACUGGCAUGGUGUCCUACCUGAAUGACCUCUCCAGGCAGCGCAUCCAGCCCCAGCACGUGGCUGCCAGGACUGUCACUGUGAGGAUCAACGACCCCACCAGCCUGGUGGAGGCUUACAAGUCACGUGCUGCCCGGCUUGUAGAAUCUGCAGCAAAGAAUCUGCAAGCUGAGCUGAGCCACAGAAGGAGCAAGGAGGAUGCCUGGAACAGGACUUCUGUUGAUCUUGUGCGGGCAUCAGAGGCCCACUGUCACUAUGUGGUAGUGAAGCUGUUCACAGCCAAGCUGGCCGAGGUCGGUGACGCCGCCGUGCGCGCGGUCCUGACCGACCUGUGCCUCCUGUACGCCCUGUUCGGCAUCAGCAGGAACUCAGGCUGGUAUCUUGACCAGUGCCCAAAUAAGCCAAGUGAACCAACAUGUGAAGGAGCUCCUGGCUGUCAUUCGUCCCAAUGCAGUGGCACUGGUGGACUCCUUUGACUUCCAUGAUGUCCAUCUGGGGUCUGUGCUUGGCCGCUACGAUGGCAACGUCUACGAGAACAUGUUUGAGUGGGCAAAGAAAUCCCCACUGAACAAAACACAGGUUCAUGAAUCUUUCCACAAACAUCUGAAGCCAAUGCAAGCCAAGCUGUGAAGCCUGCAGGUUUUUUUAAAUGCACUCUUGCCCUACCCUGAAAAUUGGGUGUUAGCAUCCUUCCUUCAGGCACCUAAAUCAAACAUUUGAAUCCUGUAGCUGUAGGACAGUGAAUAAUUGUAGCCUUUUUUUCCUCUUUUAUAAAUGGAGGAGGUGUUUGGGGAGAGUGUGUAGGGAUUGAUGGCUGUUUUUAAAGUGCAAUUAUAAUGGUAAAAUUAACCUUCUAAAAAUCUGGGAAAGCUUUAUGGAUGUACACAAGGAUUGCUUUUGUGAAGCUGCUAACUAGAGAGGAGUUCCUAUCAACUGGAAAAGGUGGCAGAACUUUUCUACAAAGUAGCUGACAGCCCUCAGGCAGUAGCUUCUGGUGAGCAGUUAUGUCCUCGCCUCAAAAAAAGCAUCAGUGUCUUGAUAUAUAUUGAUAUAUAUAUAAUUUUUUUUUAAAGAUUAGCCCCACCUCUUUCCUCCUUUGGCAAAUGUUUGUGCUGUGUGAAGUGACCUGCAGAGCUCCGUGCAUGUGAGUCUGUGUGUGGCACUGUUUUCCUGAUGGAUCUUGAAGUAAAUACUCCUCCUUCUCUGAAGCUCUGCUUCAGGCAUCCUUCCAGAAUAAAUCCUCGUGUUUCCUUUGGUUUCCUUCUUUCCACUGCCCCGCACAAACUCCUUUUCCUUUUGUACCAGCUCUUGGUUAAUAGGAGGUCAAAGGAGAACACAGUGAUGCUGCUCUGAGGAUAAAAAACAACUCAUAAGCUGGGUGCUGAUGACAAAUGUUCUGCCCCUGUUUUCACUCUUAGCAUUUUCUAGCACUAUCUCAAAGCACUUUACAAAUGUUUCUAUUUGAUUUGGUGGGAAAAAAAAACACAUGUACUGGUAAAAACUGGAAAUUUGACCUGGAAUGAUGAAGCCAGUAUUGGAGGGCAGAAAUCAGUUGACCAACUUCCUUGGGUCUUCUGAUUUUUCUGGGAUGUUAUCCUGUUUUUUUCAAGGCAAUUGUCAAGAAAACGACAAUCCCAAGUGAAGUGUCCAGACUUUUUUUUUUUUCCCCUACCCAUGCAUUUCCAAGGAGCUUUCUCUGAUUUUCUUAACUUUGUCUCAAUAACGACUUGGACCUUGCACAGUGCUGUGUGAUUGAACAGGAAGAAUUUAGCUUGGAAGAGAACGGCCUGCUGCCCAGGGAAAUCGGUGCAACAGCUACAACCAAGUAAAAUCAUUGCUGCUUUUCCACACCAAUAACUCUGUCCAGGAACCAUCAAAACUCUUCACACUAGAGAAGGGCAGCUCUUGAGCUUAAAGUGAUAAAAGGCUUCAGCAUAAACCCAAAUCCUGCACUUCUGAGGCAGCACCUGAGAAGCUGCUUCUCUGCAGCUUUGGUGUCUGUUAGUUUGUAAUUUUGAAUCAGUUUUCUGGCACUAACAAUGAUCAGACACAAGGUUUGGCUCCACGUGCAGUAGCUGAACAGAAAGAAAUGUUUAAUUUUAAAUAAACUAAUGAAACUUGCCUUGUGGCUCCUCAGUGUUUCAGGUCCCAUGAAAGUUCAGGA